UACGAAGGGGGCUAGCGUUGUUCGGAUUUACUGGGCGUAAAGCGCACGUAGGCGGAUCGAUCAGUCUGGGGUGAAAUCCCAGAGCUCAACUCUGGAACUGCCUUUGAUACUGUCGAUCUGGAGUAUGGAAGAGGUGAGUGGAAUUCCGAGUGUAGAGGUGAAAUUCGUAGAUAUUCGGAGGAACACCAGUGGCGAAGGCGGCUCACUGGUCCAUUACUGACGCUGAGGUGCGAAAGCGUGGGGAGCAAACAGG
This 253-nucleotide ribosomal RNA is filed under the name uncultured bacterium. RNAcentral's name for it is "partial 16S ribosomal RNA". It matches the Rfam family "Bacterial small subunit ribosomal RNA", at positions 524 to 776 of the family's 1533-position model. The record is from RNAcentral.